RNAcentral lists this ribosomal RNA (229 nucleotides) under uncultured bacterium. Its description in RNAcentral is "partial 16S ribosomal RNA". It matches the Rfam family "Bacterial small subunit ribosomal RNA", at positions 568 to 796 of the family's 1533-position model. The record is from RNAcentral.
UGCGUAGGCGGCGUUAUAAGUCAGAGGUGAAAAGCCACCGCUUAACGGUGGGACUGCCUUUGAUACUGUAGUGCUUGAAUAAGGUUGAGGUUAGCGGAAUGUGACAUGUAGCGGUGAAAUGCAUAGAUAUGUCAUAGAACACCAAUUGCGAAGGCAGCUGGCUAGAUCUUUAUUGACGCUGAGGCACGAAAGCGUGGGGAGCGAACAGGAUUAGAUACCCUGGUAGUCC